This 497-nucleotide ribosomal RNA is filed under the name uncultured bacterium. Its description in RNAcentral is "partial 16S ribosomal RNA". It matches the Rfam family "Bacterial small subunit ribosomal RNA", at positions 28 to 507 of the family's 1533-position model. The record is from RNAcentral.
GAUGAACGCUGGCGGCGUGCCUAAUACAUGCAAGUCGAGCGAACGGACGAGAAGCUUGCUUCUCUGAUGUUAGCGGCGGACGGGUGAGUAACACGUGGAUAACCUACCUAUAAGACUGGGAUAACUUCGGGAAACCGUAGCUAAUACCGGAUAAUAUUUUGAACCGCAUGGUUCAAAAGUGAAAGACGGUCUUGCUGUCACUUAUAGAUGGAUCCGCGCUGCAUUAGCUAGUUGGUAAGGUAACGGCUUACCAAGGCAACGAUGCAUAGCCGACCUGAGAGGGUGAUCGGCCACACUGGAACUGAGACACGGUCCAGACUCCUACGGGAGGCAGCAGUAGGGAAUCUUCCGCAAUGGGCGAAAGCCUGACGGAGCAACGCCGCGUGAGUGAUGAAGGUCUUCGGAUCGUAAAACUCUGUUAUCAGGGAAGAACAUAUGUGUAAGUAACUGUGCACAUCUUGACGGUACCUAAUCAGAAAGCCACGGCUAACUACGUG